RNAcentral lists this long non-coding RNA (2353 nucleotides) under Malus domestica (apple). Its description in RNAcentral is "long non-coding RNA (MDOM_LNC020490)". The record is from RNAcentral. Lineage: Eukaryota; Viridiplantae; Streptophyta; Magnoliopsida; Rosales; Rosaceae.
UCCUUUAACAAAAUGGCCGGCCAUAGGGUUUCAUUGGGCUUUUAAGGCCUUUGUGAAUUAUUUUUCAUUAAGUUGUCAUACAACUUAAGUCAAUAGGCUUGACGUUCGAAGCCCAUUAGGCCUUGAGGCCCAAAACUAACCCGUGGUCUUUUAACGAACUCGAUUAGUUUGAUUAAUUAACAUAUUAAUUAAUCCUUGCCAUAAAUAAUUAAACCAUUUAAUUAUUCUUACUCAUCUCCAUUGCUUCUUCAAUCUAUGCCUUACACGGUGUAUGAUCCAUUAGGUUCCUUUUAGCGAGGCAGUGGGCGAUUAAAACUCUUUCAAAUCGAUUGUGAAUUGAAACUUACUUUCAAUUCUCCCUUUAGUGAUUUAUACACGUUUAGGGCUUCCACAAACCAUGAGUGACACCUAGCAGUAUGUCAUGGUUACCCAAGCUAAUUAGAAGAGGUGGAGAACCUGUUCAGUUUAGGAUUACAAUGCAAUAUGGUCUUUCUCUAAUACAAUACUCUUGAUCACAUUGUUUGGAUUGAUAGUUUAUUCAUGUCUACUAUCCAAUGUGAUUCAUGUGCUUAUAUGAUUACCUUGAAUGUGAUUUGGAACGACUUCCUAAAUAUCAUUCACACUCUGGCCAGAGAUUCUUAAUCAUAUCAUAGAGUAUUCUCCCUCAAACGGUUUGAAGGUUAGAGAUCCCUUGUUGCGCAUUCACUUGCCUCUAUGGCUAAGUGGCUUAACCCCAACUAUGCCGUGGACACUCUCCUGAUGGAGUGACUUUGACAUAAUCAAAGAUCAAGGACUUAACCACAAGACAACUACAAUGCCUCAGGUCAAAGGACUACUUUGCAUUAUCGCAACCAUGAGUUCUCAUGUGACAUAAGUAUGAGAACUCCUCGUUGAUCGUGUUCAGUGAACUCAUUCUCUAUUGAGCACCUACGUACUUAUCUUGAUGUCACACACACACCAAUGACUCGAGACUAGUCACUCUCCCUGAGAAAAGACACAGCACGUACUGAUCUUAACGGACUGUCAAUGCCCAAUUGGCAAUCCUAUGAUCAGGUGUUGGAAAUGUGCCCUAAAACCAAUCAUAUGAUGAUACUUUACGGACAUUUCACAUGUUAAACUAAUCUAGUUUAAUAUCAAGGGCAAAGAUUAUUGUUUUAAACCAUCUCAUAUAAAUGUUAUAUGCUUAAACGAUAAGUCCAGGGAAUAUGUAAUUAGGAGAAUGUGAUUUAAACAAGUUAGAUUAAUGAGACCAUUCUCUUUCGUUUACAUAUCCUAAACGUUCCUGAUUAUAGGAUUGCUAAUUGGGCAUUGACAGUCCGUUAAGAUCAAUACAUGCUAUGUCUUCUCUUAGUGAGAGUGACUAGUCUCGAGUCAUUGGUGUGAUUGACACCAAGACAAGCAUGUAGGUGCUCAAUAGCGAAUGAGUCCACUGAACACGAUCAACGAGGAGUUCUCAUACUCAUGUCACAUGAGAACUCAUGGUUGGGAUAAUGCAAAGUAGUCCUUUGACCUGAGGCAUCAUAGUUGUCUUGUGGUUAAGUCCUCUAUCUUUUAUUGUGUUAAAGUCACUCCAUUCGAGGGUGUCCAUGACAUAGUUGGGGUUAAGCCACUUAGCCAUGGAGGCAAGUGAAUGCGCAACAAGGGAUCUCUAACCUUCAAACCGUUUGGGGGAGAAUACUCUAUGAUAUGAUUAAGAAAAUCUCUGGCCAGAGUAUGAAUGAGAUUUAGGAAGUCGUUCCAAAUCUCAUUCAAGGUAAUCAUAUAAGCACACUAAUCAUAUUGGAUAGUAGACAUGAAUAAACUAUCAAACCAAACAAUGUGGUCAAAAGUAUUGUAUUAGAGAAAGACCGUAUUGCAUUUGUAAUCCUAAACUGAAUAGGUUCUCCACCUCUUCUGAUUAGCUUGGGUAACCAUGAUAUGCUGCUAGGUGUCACUCAUGGUUUGUGAAAGCCCUAAACGUGUAUAAUCACUAAAGGGAGAGUUGAAAGUAAGUUUCAAUUCACAAUCGAUUUGAAAUGGUUUUAAUCGCCCACUGCCUCACUAAAAGGAACCUAAUGGAUCAUACACCGUGUAAGGUGGAGAUUGAAGAAAGAAUGGAGAUGAGUAAGAAUAAUUAAAUGGUUUAAUUAUUUAUGGCAAGGAUUAAUUAAUAUGUUAAUUAAUCAAACGAAUAAGUUCGUUAAAGACCUCGGGAUAGUUUUGGACCUUAAGGCCCAAUGGGCUUCGAACGUCACGCCCAUUGACUUAAGUUGUAUGACAACUUAAUAACAAAUAAUUUACAAAGGCCUUAAAAGCCCAAUGAAACCCUAUGGCCGGCCAUUUUGUUAAAGGAGUGGGUUUUGGACUUAAUUAC